GAUGAAGAACGUAGCGAAAUGCGAUAAGUAAUGUGAAUUGCAGAAUUCAGUGAAUCAUCGAAUCUUUGAACGCACAUUGCGCCCGUCAGUAUUCUGGCGGGCAUGCCUGUUCGAGCGUCAUUACGCCCCUCAAGUCCCCUGUGGACUGGGUGUUGGGGAUCGGCGAGGCUGGUUUUCCAGCACAGCCGUCCCUUAAAUUAAUUGGCGGUCUCGCCGUGGCCCUCCUCUGCGCAGUAGUAAAACACUCGCAACAGGAGCCCGGCGCGGUCCACUGCCGUAAAACCCCCCAACUUUUUAUAGUUGACCUCGAAUCAGGUAGGACUACCCGCUGAACUUAAGCAUAUCAAUAAGCGGAGGA
This 358-nucleotide unclassified non-coding RNA is filed under the name soil metagenome. RNAcentral describes it as "partial contains 5.8S ribosomal RNA, internal transcribed spacer 2, and large subunit ribosomal RNA". The stretch from base 1 to 120 matches the Rfam family "5.8S ribosomal RNA", at positions 35 to 154 of the family's 154-position model. The record is from RNAcentral.